Molecule: ribosomal RNA, 468 nt
Filed under: uncultured bacterium
Lineage: Bacteria
Description: partial 16S ribosomal RNA
Rfam family: Bacterial small subunit ribosomal RNA
Source: RNAcentral
GACGAACGCUGGCGGCGUGCUUAACACAUGCAAGUCGAACGGAAAGGCCCUGCUUUUGUGGGGUGCUCGAGUGGCGAACGGGUGAGUAACACGUGAGUAACCUGCCCUUGACUUUGGGAUAACUUCAGGAAACUGGGGCUAAUACCGGAUAGGAGCUCCUGCUGCAUGGUGGGGGUUGGAAAGUUUCGGCGGUUGGGGAUGGACUCGCGGCUUAUCAGCUUGUUGGUGGGGUAGUGGCUUACCAAGGCUUUGACGGGUAGCCGGCCUGAGAGGGUGACCGGCCACAUUGGGACUGAGAUACGGCCCAGACUCCUACGGGAGGCAGCAGUGGGGAAUAUUGCACAGUGGGCGGGAGCCUGAUGCGGCAACGCCGCGUGCGGGAUGACGGCCUUCGGGUUGUAAACCGCUUUCGCCUGUGACGAAGCGUGAGUGACGGUAAUGGGUAAAGAAGCACCGGCUAACUACGUG